GGCCACUCGCUAUCAGAUUGACAAUCAUAGAUUAAUCGAGAAACCAUUGAAGAAGGAUUCUAUGGCUCCCCUGCUGCUAGCUUUGAAAUACUCAUAAAUCACAACUACUUUAAGAAGGAUUCCAUUAAAGAAGAAUAUCAUUUUGGGCCUAUUACUAUGAUCAUGCUCGAAAAUAAUCAGUUUGCAACAAUGAAGAUCAUCCAAAGGGCUGACAUUUGGCCUUAAUUCCACUGUAAUUGCAAAACUUGAUAGAAUAAUUGAGCCAAGAACAUCUUGCAACGGUAAACUGCAACUGUGACUAUCUUUUAAUAUUGGCAACAAGAAUCUCAGAGUUGUUUCUCUUAAUUGAUCUUCGACACUAGAGUCUCAACAUAUUUCCACUAGUCAGCAACUGUAAAUUGAUGGAGUAGCCAAAUGAGCAUCGCCUCACAACACAACGAGCAUAGCCACUAAGUUGAAUUCAUGAAUUUGGGAUUUUGAACGAAUGUAUCAAAAAGCAGUAAUAAAACAACACACUAUAAUUUUAAUGGAGUAAAAGCGAAACAUUCAAGUAUGCUACUAGCUUCGAGAUUUGCAACAAAGUCAACUGAGGGUUUCAUUUGCUACAUAAACACAAAGACUUGGUUUGAUAAAAAUUGAUGUACAUACCACGUUCCCAGAUUCAAUUUUUAUCGGCUGAUGCACAGAGAAUCUCUCCAGAGCAGUUUACUUACUGGUCAAGGAUUCUGUGAAAAGGAAAACGGAAGAGAGAGAGAAGCAAGAAGCUAGAGGGAGAUAAAGGUGUUGGGUGACUUGGGUUGGCUAUUGCCUAUUGACAAAUUGAUAAAACUCAUCUCUGUAACUUUCAAUUAAAUUAAUCUUCAACAAAAAUACAAGAUUUUGUUUUUGCAGCCGCAAUCUGCGUCUGUAUACGAACCGAGCCGAGCCGAAUACCUUCAGGCUCGGGCUCGGCUCGCGAAAUUUUGGGUAGGCUCGAGUUCGGCUCGAGCUCGAGGUCGAGCUUUAAAAUGAGCUCGAGCUCGGCUCGACAGAAUAAUAUGAAGUUCGAGCUCGAUUCGUAUUCGGUUCGUUAAUUAUUCGUUUAUCUCGAGCUCGAACUCGGCUCGAAUUUGGCUCGAUUUUGGAGCUCGAUUUUAAAUUCGAAUUCGAGCUCGAUUUCGAAUUCAGGAGAAUUGGAGAAUUGUGGCUCUUUCACUGACGCAACUUACGCGGUGUGGUGUGAGUCGGGGUGGUCGGGAACGAAUGAAGGAGGCGGUGCUGUUGUUGUAGAGUGGAUGGCGGCACUGCUUCUGUUAUCGCCGACUCGCCGAGAGAUAGGAGAAUUGUGGCUCUUUCACUGAGCGCCCGACUGAGACAGAGGAAGGCGGCGGAGUUGUUGUUGUAGAGGAGAAGGCGGCGCUGCGAACUGACGACGCUGUCGCCGAGAGAGAAGAGAUGUGCGGUGGCUGAAUUGUGAAGUUGUGGAGGAGAUGUGCGGCGCAGCGGAGCUGUUGUCGAGAAUUCAAAUUGAAGUCUGUAGGGUUAGGGAAGGAAUAGUCGAAUAG
This 1544-nucleotide long non-coding RNA is filed under the name Salvia miltiorrhiza (redroot sage). RNAcentral describes it as "long non-coding RNA (SMIL_LNC010538)". Lineage: Eukaryota; Viridiplantae; Streptophyta; Magnoliopsida; Lamiales; Lamiaceae. The record is from RNAcentral.